CAGUAGCCGCGGUAAAACGUAGGUGGCAAGCGUUGUCCGGAAUUAUUGGGCGUAAAGGGCUCGCAGGCGGUUUCUUAAGUCUGAUGUGAAAGCCCCCGGCUCAACCGGGGAGGGUCAUUGGAAACUGGGAAACUUGAGUGCAGAAGAGGAGAGUGGAAUUCCACGUGUAGCGGUGAAAUGCGUAGAGAUGUGGAGGAACACCAGUGGCGAAGGCGACUCUCUGGUCUGUAACUGACGCUGAGGAGCGAAAGCGUGGGGAGCGAACAGGAUUAGAUACCCCGGUAGUCCCUGUCUCUUAUAA
Molecule: ribosomal RNA, 301 nt
Filed under: uncultured bacterium
Lineage: Bacteria
Description: partial 16S ribosomal RNA
Rfam family: Bacterial small subunit ribosomal RNA
Source: RNAcentral